UAGGGAAUCUUCCGCAAUGGGCGAAAGCCUGACGGAGCAACGCCGCGUGAGUGAUGAAGGUCUUCGGAUCGUAAAACUCUGUUAUUAGGGAAGAACAAAUGUGUAAGUAACUAUGCACGUCUUGACGGUACCUAAUCAGAAAGCCACGGCUAACUACGUGCCAGCAGCCGCGGUAAUACGUAGGUGGCAAGCGUUAUCCGGAAUUAUUGGGCGGAAAGCGCGCGUAGGCGGUUUUUUAAGUCUGAUGUGAAAGCCCACGGCUCAACCGUGGAGGGUCAUUGGAAACUGGAAAACUUGAGUGCAGAAGAGGAAAGUGGAAUUCCAUGUGUAGCGGUGAAAUGCGCAGAGAUAUGGAGGAACACCAGUGGCGAAGGCGACUUUCUGGUCUGUAACUGACGCUGAUGUGCGAAAGCGUGGGGAUCAAACAGG
RNAcentral lists this ribosomal RNA (429 nucleotides) under Actinomycetes bacterium. RNAcentral's name for it is "Actinobacteria bacterium partial 16S ribosomal RNA". It matches the Rfam family "Bacterial small subunit ribosomal RNA", at positions 355 to 776 of the family's 1533-position model. The record is from RNAcentral. Lineage: Bacteria; Bacillati; Actinomycetota; Actinomycetes.